Molecule: non-coding RNA, 1149 nt
Organism: Bemisia tabaci
Lineage: Eukaryota; Metazoa; Arthropoda; Insecta; Hemiptera; Aleyrodidae
Source: RefSeq, a predicted model, not a curated record
GGCUUUUGUUAAUAUGAUAGAUUGCUUUUUCAUUAAGAUGUUCCAGUCAUUUUACGUAAUAAAUUGCCUCUCUCGUCUCUCCCCCCCCCUCGCCCCUCGCCGGCCGUCUCUCGUUUCAGCUUUGACUUUUUUCCAUCCCGUGCUUUUUCCUGCCCCGAGUCUGAUUUGUAGCCUUUGUAGCGACAGGGAUUGGAUUUAACAGGCUGCGCCUCGCCUUAUCCCUUUGAGACGAUCAAAUAAAAGGGCCACCGUCGUGCGGGUGCCUUUGUGAGCAAACUGUGAUCCGAUCCGAAUUUGUACGACUAAUGGAGCUUUUGCACAAUCAAUAAGAGUGAACUUCGAAGAAUAAUACCAUCUGAUCGCGAGCGUUCCGAAAUAUAUUAUGUUCCUCAUCUGCAGCUUUAUCAGCGGGACAGUAGUGGGUACAGUGGGAUAUUUCAUUAGCACUUGGUCCUUACAUCCGUCUUCCGUCCUAGUCAUAAAUAAACCCUCAUAAUGCUUCUAAAAUUUUCUUGACUGAUGAAUAAUGGAUCUAUAAUUUAAACAUUUUUCUCAAGUUCUCAAGAAACUGCUUCACAAGUGUCUUCAUCAAUGAGCAAAUUCAAAAUCCGGAGUGGCCAACGACGGUGAAUGCUUUUUGACAGAGAGACGCUGAUGAUUCACAUUCUUUCAACAACGACAGGUGUAUGGUCCGAUUUGCAGCGGAAGAAAAAAUAAACCACCUGAGCAUAUUUGCAGCCAACAUUUUUCAUCGUGCUUUGCGACAUCACUAUGCUGUCUAUCUUAAUUGGCGGUCACGAGCUGUCAUCUACCGUGCUAUGUCGUGAUUGAUAACUAGAUAAGUCAAUGGACUUGCUCCAACUGUAUAUUUUGGUCGAUUAUUGCUAUAGAAUAGAGUGUCAUCGACCGGAUACUAUUUACAAUGCUCAAGUGAGCUGACCUUGGGGCCCAACAUAGACCUGGGGCAAGUGCAUUGACUUAUCUAUCACAAUAGCAGAGAGCAUAAUUUUUGUGUUCUUUAUAGUUACGGUAUUAUUAUUACGCUAUCAGAGUCCACUUAGGACGUACCUUAAAUUAUAACAUGUAUUGUAUAUUUCCUUUACAUGUACUGUAAAAUGUAUAUUAAAUGUUUUUUUCUUCAAACAUUCA